Long non-coding RNA from Pseudophryne corroboree (corroboree frog), 1048 nucleotides. RefSeq lists it as uncharacterized. Lineage: Eukaryota; Metazoa; Chordata; Amphibia; Anura; Myobatrachidae. The transcript has 4 exons. The record is from RefSeq and is a predicted model, not a curated record.
AUGACUCUGUUUCCCUUACAGUGCCUUCACCCAAGGCCUGCAGUGUACUUUGAUUUUUUUGGAGUGUACUUACAAACAGUCCUUGAUCACCACUAAAACCAACAGUGUUCUUCACCCUUCGGAGUGGACUUCAGAACAGCCCUACAUUUUCACCCAAGCUUAUGGUGUUAUACGAUCCUUUGGACUAGACUUGGGAAUACUUCAUUAGGUCUACAUCUUCUGCAGCUGUCCUCUGACAGAGAUUUUCACAUUGAUUAUUGAAAAGUAGACUUUUAAAACAUUGAAGACAUCUAUACCAGGCUGGCAUCAUGUCUAAUAAAAAGCGAACAAAUAGUUCAAAGCCAGGAAUAAUGUUCUACUUUCACCACCAACCAAAGAAAGGAAAAACUGACAUUCCACUUCAAACACAGAACUUAGCACUGGACAAUGAAAUAGUAACUAUUGACUGUGAGGAAGUUGUUGCUGAGACAUCAGCUGAAUCACACGAUAAGUCUACAGAUGAAAAGCAAUAUCCAGCUGUGUGGUCAAAAGAACAAUUUGACGAAUUCAAAAAGAAACAUGAGUGGCUAUUUGCGUCUAGGGGAAAACUCGGCUGUACAAUCUGUGCAGAAGUUUCUAACUUAAAGAUUCACGCUGCUCGAGGCAUAAAUAUUGCUUCUCAGUGGGCAGAAUGUAACAUUUUACCUUUUGGUAAAACUAAGGAAACAGAGCUCACAUCUCUUCGCAAAAAAAUUUAUAUACACAAAAAUAGCGCUGCUCAUGCAGAAGCAGAAAAAAUUCUAGAAACUGCUAGAAAAGAUAUUCUGCUAAACAUAAAUGGAAGAAGUCAAGAAACUGCUUUUGAAAUCACUAGCCGUGUAUUCAGAACAGCUUACUACAUUGCUAAAAUGAAUAGGCCAUUUACUGACCAUGAGAGCUUGAUUGACCUGCAAAAAGUGAAUGGAGUUCAGAUUGGGCGUUUGCUUCAUAGUAGAAUGGUCUGCGGAGACAUUAUAGAACACAUUUCGGCUGAAAUGAGGAAAAAGAUUGUCUCACAAAUUAUAACAAA